Molecule: ribosomal RNA, 403 nt
Filed under: Verrucomicrobiota bacterium
Lineage: Bacteria; Pseudomonadati; Verrucomicrobiota
Description: Verrucomicrobia bacterium partial 16S ribosomal RNA
Rfam family: Bacterial small subunit ribosomal RNA
Source: RNAcentral
UGGGGAAUAUUGCACAAUGGGCGCAAGCCUGAUGCAGCAACGCCGCGUGAACGAUGAAGGUCUUCGGAUCGUAAAGUUCUGUUGCAGGGGAAGAUAAUGACGGUACCCUGUGAGGAAGCCCCGGCUAACUACGUGCCAGCAGCCGCGGUAAUACGUAGGGGGCUAGCGUUAUCCGGAUUUACUGGGCGUAAAGGGUGCGUAGGUGGUCUUUCAAGUCGGUGGUUAAAGGCUACGGCUCAACCGUAGUUAGCCUCCGAAACUGGAAGACUUGAGUGCAGGAGAGGAAAGUGGAAUUCCCAGUGUAGCGGUGAAAUGCGUAGAUAUUGGGAGGAACACCAGUAGCGAAGGCGGCUUUCUGGACUGCAACUGACACUGAGGCACGAAAGAGUGGGUAGCAAACAGG